GUCAACUUCCCUUUGUGCUGUAGCGAAGGGCUCUUCUUUUAAUUGCUUUCAGCACGCAGCACAAGGAUGGCUUUGUGAACCCCACUUUCCUGCACUGCAGGGACAGGUUUGAUAAGAAUAUGUCAAAAGAUGUGGACUCUGCAUUUUACAAAUGCAGACAGAAACUGGUGAACUUACUGAACACACGCAUCUAGAACUGAGUCGUGGCAUUCAGUGACCAUCUCGAGCAAGCCUUUGCUGGGCAGAGGGCAAUCUGUAUUCCCCUCUGAAGUCCAGAAGAGCUUUUACGGCAGCAGAGACAUGACUGUGACGAGAGCCUGGUGAGCCUGCCCAGAGAUUGUGGAGGGUUGAGGAGCGUGUCCAAUCCCACCGGAGCCCAGCACCCAGGACAGCCUGAUGGAUUCUCUCCCCUUUGCGCAUUUAUGUUUCCUGCUUCUGACCGUUUCAUCUCCCUUUCUAAAUACUGCCACGUCCAGUGGUGACUCUGCUGAGGGGACAAAAGGCUCUUCCUUUAGCAGCACAAAAGUGACAGCCUACGACUGCAAGCAUUGUGGUGUCAGCGUAUGCGAGUUAUCCAAUUUCAGUUGCUGUACCAUAAUUGGUGAAACACAAGACGAGACGUUUUCAAAUGAAGUAAUUCAGCUGGUGACCAAUGAAACGCACAUCACUAUGUGUUUUCAGCAAGCAAAUACUUUUUCGGAACAAAUUUACGCCAUCAUCUGGGCAAAAGCUGGGGGAAUAGGAGAUUCAUGUGGCAUCCUGAAGGCUGAAGCUUCCCCAGAGAAUAGGGGGGAAACAGUCGUUUCAGAGCAGAAGAAGACUUGCUGUACAGCACAGGUCCAGCUCGCAGUGCCCAGCACCCCCUUAAAUUGCUACGCUGACAAGGACAAAAGCCCCCAGCUCGGCAGCCCUGAGGAUGGAAAUGAUGUCGGUGAAGAAAAUGAAUUUCUGGAACAUUCACCAGACUUUAUCGGUGCUUGGGAAGGAGAUUCUGUUAGCAUAAUUUGCUCUAUGAAAAAGUCAGAAAAUGAAGAGGGGACGUACUUGAGGACUAGAUACAACAAUGUGGUGUAUCUUUCCAGGCAGAACACUUCAUAUAUCCUUCCCGCUUUAGCUGAUCGCGUCAACUAUUCAAAUGAAGGAAAAAACCUGAGGAUAACUCUGCACAACGUCCAGCAAAAUGAUUCCAAUAUCUACCUUUGCACUACAUUUAUAAAAAAUAGCCAUUACGUAAAGCUGGAUGGGAAGAGAACUGUGCUAGUGGUGAGAGGUAAAAAUAAUGGAAUUGUUGAACAAUCACCACAUUCUCUCAGUGUUCAGCAAGACCAAUCUAUCAGCAUUACUUGCUCACUGAAAAGCUCACAUGAAGAAGAAGGGGUCUUCUUGCUCAGGACUCAUAUGAAAGCUGAUAUUUCUCAAAGCAAAAUAUUUCAACUAUCUUUCCUGCUUUUGCAAAUCGCUUGGAGUACUCAAAGCAAGAGAAGACAUUGGUGA
RNAcentral lists this long non-coding RNA (1494 nucleotides) under Struthio camelus australis. RNAcentral's name for it is "lncRNA (ENSSCUG00000002515.1)". Lineage: Eukaryota; Metazoa; Chordata; Aves; Struthioniformes; Struthionidae. The record is from RNAcentral.